Molecule: ribosomal RNA, 253 nt
Filed under: uncultured bacterium
Lineage: Bacteria
Description: partial 16S ribosomal RNA
Rfam family: Bacterial small subunit ribosomal RNA
Source: RNAcentral
UACAGAGGUCUCAACCGUUGUUCGGAUUCAUUGGGCGUAAAGGGUGCGUAGGCGGUCGGGUAAGUCGGAUGUGAAAUCUCAGGGCUCAACCCUGAAACUGCAUUCGAUACUGCCUGGCUAGGGUACUGGAGAGGAGACUGGAAUUUACGGUGUAGCGGUGAAAUGCGUAGAUAUCUGGAGGAACACCGGUGGCGAAAGCGGCUCACUGGAUCGAAACUGACGCUGAGGUGCGAAAGCUAGGGUAGCAGACGGG